ACCUUGAAAUACCACCCUUUAAUGUUUGAUGUUCUAACGUGGACCCGUAAUCCGGGUUGCGGACAGUGUCUGGUGGGUAGUUUGACUGGGGCGGUCUCCUCCCAAAGAGUAACGGAGGAGCACGAAGGUUGGCUAAUCCUGGUCGGACAUCAGGAGGUUAGUGCAAUGGCAUAAGCCAGCUUGACUGCGAGCGUGACGGCGCGAGCAGGUGCGAAAGCAGGUCAUAGUGAUCCGGUGGUUCUGAAUGGAAGGGCCAUCGCUCAACGGAUAAAAGGUACUCCGGGGAUAACAGGCUGAUACCGCCCAAGAGUUCAUAUCGACGGCGGUGUUUGGCACCUCGAUGUCGGCUCAUCACAUCCUGGGGCUGAAGUAGGUCCCAAGGGUAUGGCUGUUCGCCAUUUAAAGUGGUACGCGAGCUGGGUUUAGAACGUCGUGAGACAGUUCGGUCCCUAUCUGCCGUGGGCGCUGGAGAACUGAGGGGGGCUGCUCCUAGUACGAGAGGACCGGAGUGGACGCAUCACUGGUGUUCGGGUUGUCAUGCCAAUGGCACUGCCCGGUAGCUAAAUGCGGAAGAGAUAAGUGCUGAAAGCAUCUAAGCACGAAACUUGCCCCGAGAUGAGUUCUCCCUGAGACUUAGAGUCUCCUGAAGGAACGUUGAAGACGACGACGUUGAUAGGCCGGGUGUGUAAGCGCAGCGAUGCGUUGAGCUAACCGGUACUAAUGAACCGUGAGGCUUAACCUU
RNAcentral lists this ribosomal RNA (742 nucleotides) under Salmonella enterica subsp. enterica serovar Ceyco. Its description in RNAcentral is "partial 23S ribosomal RNA". It matches the Rfam family "Bacterial large subunit ribosomal RNA", at positions 2189 to 2925 of the family's 2925-position model. The record is from RNAcentral. Lineage: Bacteria; Pseudomonadati; Pseudomonadota; Gammaproteobacteria; Enterobacterales; Enterobacteriaceae.